CGAGGCAGAGCGAACCCCAAAAAGCCGUCUCAGUUCGGAUCGCAGGCUGCAACCCGCCUGCGUGAAGUCGGAAUCGCUAGUAAUCGCGGAUCAGCAUGCCGCGGUGAAUACGUUCCCGGGCCUUGUACACACCGCCCGUCACACCAUGAGAGUCGGGAACACCCGAAGUCCGUAGCCUAACCGCAAGGAGGGCGCGGCCGAAGGUGGGUUCGAUAAUUGGGGUGAAGUCGUAACAAGGUACC
RNAcentral lists this ribosomal RNA (242 nucleotides) under uncultured bacterium. Its description in RNAcentral is "partial 16S ribosomal RNA". It matches the Rfam family "Bacterial small subunit ribosomal RNA", at positions 1258 to 1500 of the family's 1533-position model. The record is from RNAcentral.